UGGGGAAUUUUGGACAAUGGGCGCAAGCCUGAUCCAGCAAUGCCGCGUGCAGGAUGAAGGCCUUCGGGUUGUAAACUGCUUUUGUACGGAACGAAAAGCCCUGGGUUAAUACCCUGGGGUCAUGACGGUACCGUAAGAAUAAGCACCGGCUAACUACGUGCCAGCAGCCGCGGUAAUACGUAGGGUGCAAGCGUUAAUCGGAAUUACUGGGCGUAAAGCGUGCGCAGGCGGUUUUGUAAGACAGAGGUGAAAUCCCCGGGCUCAACCUGGGAACUGCCUUUGUGACUGCAAGGCUAGAGUACGGCAGAGGGGGAUGGAAUUCCGCGUGUAGCAGUGAAAUGCGUAGAUAUGCGGAGGAACACCGAUGGCGAAGGCAAUCCCCUGGGCCUGUACUGACGCUCAUGCACGAAAGCGUGGGGAGCAAAACAGGAUUAGAUACCCUGGUAGUCCACGCCCUAAACGAUGUCAACUGGUUGUUGGGUCUUAACUGACUCAGUAACGAAGCUANCGCGUGAAGUUGACCGCCUGGGGAGUACGGCCGCAAGGUUGAAACUCAAAUGAAUUGACGGGGUCAU
This 575-nucleotide ribosomal RNA is filed under the name uncultured bacterium. RNAcentral describes it as "partial 16S ribosomal RNA". It matches the Rfam family "Bacterial small subunit ribosomal RNA", at positions 355 to 922 of the family's 1533-position model. The record is from RNAcentral.